This 270-nucleotide ribosomal RNA is filed under the name uncultured archaeon. Its description in RNAcentral is "partial 16S ribosomal RNA". It matches the Rfam family "Archaeal small subunit ribosomal RNA", at positions 477 to 747 of the family's 1478-position model. The record is from RNAcentral.
CAGCACCUCAAGUGGUCAGGAUGAUUAUUGGGCCUAAAGCAUCCGUAGCCGGCUCUGUAAGUUUUCGGUUAAAUCUGUAUGCUCAACAUACAGGCUGCCGGGAAUACUGCAGAGCUAGGGAGUGGGAGAGGUAGACGGUACUCGGUAGGAAGGGGUAAAAUCCUUUGAUCUAUUGAUGACCACCUGUGGCGAAGGCGGUCUACCAGAACACGUCCGACGGUGAGGGAUGAAAGCUGGGGGAGCAAACAGGAUUAGAUACCCGAGUAGUCC